RNAcentral lists this transfer RNA (71 nucleotides) under Marmota monax (woodchuck). RNAcentral describes it as "tRNA.Val". Lineage: Eukaryota; Metazoa; Chordata; Mammalia; Rodentia; Sciuridae. The record is from RNAcentral.
GGGGUUGUGACUCAGUGGUAGAGGUCUUAUCUCACAUGCAGGGGGUACUAGGUUCAAACCUCAGCACCACA